UACGUAGGUGGCAAGCGUUAUCCGGAUUUAUUGGGCGUAAAGGGAACGCAGGCGGUCUUUUAAGUCUGAUGUGAAAGCCUUCGGCUCAACCGGAGUAGUGCAUUGGAAACUGGGAGACUUGAGUGCAGAAGAGGAGAGUGGAACUCCGUGUGUAGCGGUGAAAUGCGUAGAUAUAUGGAAGAACACCAGUGGCGAAAGCGGCUCUCUGGUCUGUAACUGACGCUGAGGUUCGAAAGCGUGGGUAGCAAACAGG
This 253-nucleotide ribosomal RNA is filed under the name uncultured bacterium. Its description in RNAcentral is "partial 16S ribosomal RNA". It matches the Rfam family "Bacterial small subunit ribosomal RNA", at positions 524 to 776 of the family's 1533-position model. The record is from RNAcentral.